This 105-nucleotide small nuclear RNA is filed under the name Procavia capensis (Cape rock hyrax). Lineage: Eukaryota; Metazoa; Chordata; Mammalia; Hyracoidea; Procaviidae. The record is from RNAcentral.
GUGAUCGCUAGCAGCACAUAUACUAAAACUGGAAUGACACAGAGAAGAGUGGCAUGGCCCCUGUGCAAGGAUGACAUGCAAAUUCAUGAAGCAUGCCAUAUUUUU